CCUACGGGUGGCUGCAGUGGGGAAUAUUGCGCAAUGGGCGAAAGCCUGACGCAGCGACGCCGCGUGAGGGAUGAAGGUCUUCGGAUCGUAAACCUCUGUCAGCAGGGAAGAACGGUCACUGUGCUAAUCAGCAGUGAAUUGACGGUACCUGCAAAGGAAGCACCGGCUAACUCCGUGCCAGCAGCCGCGGUAAUACGGAGGGUGCGAGCGUUAAUCGGAAUUACUGGGCGUAAAGCGCUCGUAGGCGGUAUGUCAAGUCAAGGGUGAAAUCCCCGCGCUCAACGUGGGAACUGCCUUUGAAACUGGCAAACUGGAGUGUGUGAGAGGAUAGUGGAAUUCCAGGUGUAGGGAUGAAAUGCGUAGAUAUCUGGAGGAACAUCAGUGGCGAAGGCGACUAUCUGGCACAUAACUGACGCUGAGGAGCGAAAGCGUGGGUAGCAAACAGGAUUAGAUACCCUAGUAGUC
Molecule: ribosomal RNA, 465 nt
Filed under: uncultured bacterium
Lineage: Bacteria
Description: partial 16S ribosomal RNA
Rfam family: Bacterial small subunit ribosomal RNA
Source: RNAcentral